RNAcentral lists this ribosomal RNA (425 nucleotides) under uncultured bacterium. Its description in RNAcentral is "partial 16S ribosomal RNA". It matches the Rfam family "Bacterial small subunit ribosomal RNA", at positions 354 to 796 of the family's 1533-position model. The record is from RNAcentral.
GUGGGGAAUCUUGCGCAAUGGGCGAAAGCCUGACGCAGCCAUGCCGCGUGAAUGAUGAAGGUCUUAGGAUUGUAAAAUUCUUUCACCGGGGACGAUAAUGACGGUACCCGGAGAAGAAGCUCCGGCUAACUUCGUGCCAGCAGCCGCGGUAAUACGAAGGGGGCUAGCGUUGCUCGGAAUUACUGGGCGUAAAGGGCGCGUAGGCGGACAGCUUAGUCAGAGGUGAAAGCCCAGGGCUCAACCUUGGAAUUGCUUUUGAGACUGUAUGACUAGAGAUCUAGAGAGGUUGGGGGAAUUCCGAGUGUAGAGGUGAAAUUCGCAGAUAUUCGGAGGAACACCAGUGGCGUAGGCGCCCAACUGGCUAGAUACUGACGCUGAGGUACGAAAGCGUGGGGAGCAAACAGGAUUAGAAACCCCAGUAGUCC